GAUGAACGCUGGCGGCGUGCCUAAUACAUGCAAGUCGAGCGAACAGACGAGGAGCUUGCUCCUCUGACGUUAGCGGCGGACGGGUGAGUAACACGUGGAUAACCUACCUAUAAGACUGGGAUAACUUCGGGAAACCGGAGCUAAUACCGGAUAAUAUCUUGAACCGCAUGGUUCAAUAGUGAAAGACGGUUUUGCUGUCACUUAUAGAUGGAUCCGCGCCGCAUUAGCUAGUUGGUAAGGUAACGGCUUACCAAGGCAACGAUGCGUAGCCGAACUGAGAGGGUGAUCGGCCACACUGGAACUGAGACACGGUCCAGACUCCUACGGGAGGCAGCAGUAGGGAAUCUUCCGCAAUGGGCGGAAGCCUGACGGAGCAACGCCGCGUGAGUGAUGAAGGUCUUCGGAUCGUAAAACUCUGUUAUUAGGGAAGAACAAAUGUGGAAGUAACUAUGCACGUCUUGACGGUACCUAAUCAGAAAGCCACGGCUAACUACGUG
Molecule: ribosomal RNA, 497 nt
Filed under: uncultured bacterium
Lineage: Bacteria
Description: partial 16S ribosomal RNA
Rfam family: Bacterial small subunit ribosomal RNA
Source: RNAcentral